Molecule: non-coding RNA, 417 nt
Organism: Coffea arabica (coffee)
Lineage: Eukaryota; Viridiplantae; Streptophyta; Magnoliopsida; Gentianales; Rubiaceae
Source: RefSeq, a predicted model, not a curated record
UUAAACCCUGCACUUCUUUCCGCCUCUUUAGACUCUUCAGACCAAAGAAGAAGACUCAUCUUCUCUCCAUCCCCUUUUCAUCUUCGUACUCCCAUUGGCCGUCCAUCAUAUUCUGCAAAUGGAGUUUUGGGGUGUUGAAGUCAAGCCUGGAGAACCUCUGAAGGUCAAACCUGAAGUGUUCAGGCUUAUUCACAUCUCCCAGGCAGCUUUGGGUGAGGUAAAGGAUGGAAAAGGGCCAAAGUGUGUUCCGAUUCAUUUUGAAGGUUGGCGACAAAAAAUAUGUUAUGGGGACUCUUUCAGCAGAGGAUAGACCACAGUUGAUGUUUGACUUGGUUUUUGAGAGAGAAUUUGAGCUCUCACAUGACUGGAAAGAUGGAAGCAUCUACUUCGCUGGAUACAUUGCUGAUGAUGACAGUA